Molecule: ribosomal RNA, 1545 nt
Filed under: Triticum aestivum (bread wheat)
Lineage: Eukaryota; Viridiplantae; Streptophyta; Magnoliopsida; Poales; Poaceae
Description: partial small subunit ribosomal RNA
Source: RNAcentral
AUGCCUGAAGAAGGGGAAAAAGAAUACCACAAGGGGGGAUGGUGUGAUUCUGAAGCACUGAAGGAAGCACUCCGAGUACUGCCUUUCAAAGGUUAUUUGAAAGAUAGUUUCAACAAACUCUCGGGGGAUUUGUGCGAUUGCAUUGAGACAUUGUACCAUGAUCAUCCAAGAAAUUCAGAAACAAGACGCAGUUUUCAGUGUAUGCUAGAAGUGGUUGAGUUGAUCAAAAUUCUUCCUGCUUUAAUAAACUGUGACAAGGAUAAUAGUGAUAUAUGGUCUGAUGAACUUCUUGAGAGAAAGAUACAAGAUGGUGGUGACCCUACUUUGUGGCGUGAGGAGCUCACCUGUGUGCAGACUAACACAUGCAAUAAAUCUAAGUUCAGGUUGGCCAGAUCCCUGUGUGUGCAAGAACUAAGAUAUCUUGUUGAUAACCUGGACCUUCCAAAUUGUUACAGCAUAAAAGAAAUUCAAUUCUACCUGUUGCAAAGAGUGAAAUGCAUUCUCUGUACAGUUUCCAGCUCAUUCAGGUUGUACAAUGUGCCCAUGGACAAUUCUCCUUCAGAUAUAUGCUGGUUGGUCAAGAAGUCUGAAAAGUUGACUCUUGACUUGCUGAUUGUCGAUGAGGCUGCACAGCUUAAAGAGUGUGAAACCUUAAUUCCUUUGCAGCUGCCAGGCAUAAGGCAGGCUGUUUUUAUCGGAGACGAAUAUCAGUUACCUGCUCUGGUGAAAAGCAAAAUAUCUGACAAUGCUAAAUUUGGGCGAAGUGUUUUUGAGAGGUUAAGUAUGCUGGGUUAUUGUAAGCACCUUCUCAAUGUGCAAUACAGGAUGCAUCCAAAAAUAAGCAAGUUUCCAGUUGUUACAUUUUAUGAUGGCAAGAUAUCUGAUGGUCCCAAUGUCACUACUAAGAGCUAUGAGAAGAGGUUUUUAGCAAGCAAAAUCUUUGGGUCAUACUCAUUCAUAAAUGUAGAUGGAGGACAUGAAACAACUGAGAAGCACGGGCAUGGCUGGAAAAACACAAUUGAAGCUGCUGCAGUUUCGAGGAUAGUGCAGAGGUUGUUCAAAGAGUCAUUCUCUACAGGAAUCAAAAUCUCCGUUGGUGUUGUGUCCCCAUAUAAUGGUCAAGUUAGAGAAAUCUCUGAGAAACUUGGGAAAUCCUACGAUAGGUACGACGGUUUCUCGGUGAAAGUGAAAUCUGUGGAUGGUUUCCAAGGUGCGGAGGAAGAUAUCAUUAUCAUAUCAACAGUGAGGAGCAAUAAAGCUGGUUCUGUUGGAUUUCUCACAAACAUGCAGCGGACCAAUGUGGCUCUCACGAGAGCUAAGCACUGUUUAUGGAUAGUAGGAAAUGGGACGACUUUAUCCAACAGCAAGUCUGUUUGGCAGAAGAUAGUCAAAGAUGCGCAAGACCGGGAUUGCUAUUUUGAUGCCGAUGAGGACAAAGAUUUGUCAAAUGCAGUAUUCAAGGCUGUCAUCGAGCUCGACGAUGCUGAUAAUCUAGUGGAAAAAAUGGACUCGCUUGAUAUAGGCAAGCCAAGGUCUCAGGUAUAA